GUAAUUGAUUAUAAUGUGGCCAGGUUACAACAGCUAGGGUGUGAAAUCGACAGGAUUCCAACAUUUCAUGCGAUCAUGAGGUAUUUGACGCUCUAAAACUGCUAAGUUUUCCAACAGUGUUCUGAAAGCCCAAGAUGGACCAGAAAAUUAGGCAGCUGAAACUGAAUUAGAAAAAUCCUCUCCUAAGAAGAUUGCUAAGUUUGAUCAUGGUUUAAGAUAUUAAAACAGUGUCUUCAUGUUCUUCUAAAGUACUUGUACUUAUUGCUUGGUAAUUGUCAGUGUCUGUGUGGAGUGAGUGAUAUGGUAGUUUUGAUUGUACAGAAUGGGGAAUUUCAAGCCUGUGAAACAGAUAUUACUUUCGCAUACAUACCUAACCUAAAGAUAUAUACAUGUAAUACCACUUAGGUAUUGAUUAUAUUGUCUUCUUUCAUGUUGAUAUCAUUUAUUGCUUAAAAUUUGUACUCUGGAACAAUAUUUCACAGGCUGAAUGCACAUCAUUCUGUUUGUUUUCAAUGUGAAGAAUUUGUCUGUAUGAGAGCGAAACACAGGGAGGGGUAACCUGUACAGUGGUCUCCCCCCCGUUUUCUCAAGUACAUGUAUGUAGGCUCAGUAAAGGGUGGCAAAAGGUUGUAACAUGCAAAGACAAAACUCUCGUGCAGAUUUUCUGAAUAUUAUGCAUCUAAGUAAUGUAUCUCUUCUUAGUAAAUUUCCUCGCUUGGUGUUUUGAAUUUGUUGUUAUAAAAUAAGAGAAUCCGACUAUUUGSCACCCUGGCCUACAGGAGAUCCUUUCAAUGAUGAUCCUAUGGAUGACCACAACAGGGCCUAUCAUUAACAAAAUGGUCACUCAACCUCUUAAUAAACAAGGGAAACUGGGGGUGUGAUGGUUUAAUGACAUCAAAGGGAAUCCGACAGGGCUUUCAYAGUUGAUUCUGGCAAUAUUAUGUGAAUUUUAAUGAAUUUAUUGAGCUUGGGAUGUUUUGAACACUCUGUUUGAGAAUGCUUACUUUAAAAGUAAAAUUGGCUAUUUUCAUGCCGGGACAACUGUGGAAGACUCUGGUAGCAGGAAACUUAAAUUGUAAUAAUAGCAGACUAUAAAAGCUGGUUAUACCUGAAAUUCACUGAUGUCAAUUAUAUAAAAGCAACCUUAUUACACAUGUAUCUUCCCAAUUUUUGUAUCGAGUUGAAUUUUUUAUUUUGAAUGAUUAUGCUCAAUCACUUCUGGUGUGAAUUUUGGGUAUAACAGUAAAAUGAACUUACAUAGGGGACUUAGAGCUGUGGUGCGCAAUAUAAAACUGUUUUUUCAUGUAAGAUUAGUAUGAUGUAUAAGAUAUAAAUAAAAAAAAAUUAUCUGGAA
This is a long non-coding RNA of Exaiptasia diaphana, 1354 nucleotides long. RefSeq lists it as uncharacterized. The record is from RefSeq and is a predicted model, not a curated record. The transcript is spliced from 3 exons. Lineage: Eukaryota; Metazoa; Cnidaria; Anthozoa; Actiniaria; Aiptasiidae.